RNAcentral lists this ribosomal RNA (253 nucleotides) under uncultured bacterium. RNAcentral describes it as "partial 16S ribosomal RNA". It matches the Rfam family "Bacterial small subunit ribosomal RNA", at positions 524 to 776 of the family's 1533-position model. The record is from RNAcentral.
GACGGAGGAUGCAAGUGUUAUCCGGAAUCACUGGGCGUAAAGGGUGCGUAGGCGGGUCUUUAAGUCAGGGGUGAAAUCCUGGAGCUCAACUCCAGAACUGCCUUUGAUACUGAAGAUCUUGAGUUCGGGAGAGGUGAGUGGAACUGCGAGUGUAGAGGUGAAAUUCGUAGAUAUUCGGAAGAACACCAGUGGCGAAGGCGACUUACUGGACACAUAUUGACGCUGAGGUGCGAAAGCGUGGGGAGCAAACAGG